Molecule: small nuclear RNA, 135 nt
Organism: Lontra canadensis (Northern American river otter)
Lineage: Eukaryota; Metazoa; Chordata; Mammalia; Carnivora; Mustelidae
Product: U4 spliceosomal RNA
Exons: 1
Source: RefSeq, a predicted model, not a curated record
AGCUUUGCGCAGUGGCAGUAUCGUAGCCAAUGAGGUUUAUCCGAGGCGCGAUUAUUGCUAAUUGAAAAGAAAUGUAUACCCAAAUUUUCUUUUACACAGUCACAUAAACACUAAAUUUAUUUCACUUUAGUUUAG